UAAACUAGGAUUAGAUACCCUAUUAUUUUAAAAGUAAAUUUUUGCCUAGGUAAUAAUAGUUUUGUUCUUUAAACCUAAAGAAUUUGGCGGUGCUUUAAGUCCUUUCAGAGGAACUUGUCCUGUAAUCGAUAGUCCUCGUUUUAUCUUGCUUUGAUUUAUUUAGUAUGUAUACCGCCGUUAUAAGUUUAUUUUAAAAGAAUUUAUUUACUGGUUAAUUCAAUAAUUUUUAUUUCAGGUCAAGGUGCAGCUUAUGUCUUAGUAGUGGUGAGUUACAAUAUUUUUAGUAUAUGGAUAUAUUUUAUAAUAUUAUUGAAGGUGGAUUUGUUAGUAAUUUUUAAUAUAAUGUAGUUUUGAUUUUGGCUCUAAAGUGAGUACACAUCG
Molecule: ribosomal RNA, 381 nt
Filed under: Erinaceophasma vepres vepres
Lineage: Eukaryota; Metazoa; Arthropoda; Insecta; Phasmatodea; Phasmatidae
Description: partial 12S ribosomal RNA
Source: RNAcentral